UCCGGAUAUCGAGUGCCAUUGCUAGAUGGUUACUCUAAUUGAUAUAGGAAUUUGUUCCUGUGCUACCAGAUUAGGUUUAAAGCUAUAGGGUCACACACAUUAGAAGUUCUUCUCCGAUCACAUGGCUAAUCUGAAGAGUUCCAGUGGACGGAGAGUCUGGUGAAGAGUCUCACUAAACUUAAAGUCUAUCAAUAAUGGAGGAUUAAUUAGUGAUUAGA
Molecule: long non-coding RNA, 218 nt
Filed under: Elaeis guineensis (African oil palm)
Lineage: Eukaryota; Viridiplantae; Streptophyta; Magnoliopsida; Arecales; Arecaceae
Description: long non-coding RNA (EGUI_LNC052490)
Source: RNAcentral